UUUUGCCUAAGGACCAGAAAGAAGACCAGUAACAAAGUAUGGAAUACAAAACUCAAGAGGUUUGAGGUUGACUGAGAAUGUCCAGCAGACAUUAAGCACAUGUCACUCAUCACAGGCCCAGAGUGUGGAAAUGUGUGAAAUCGACAUCGUAUACAAACCCACGGUUAAUGUAUUGCUGCAAUAGUCUCUACUCCUCUGCGAAGACUUUCCACAAGAUUUUGGAACUUGGCUUGAAGUUCUUCCACCACAC
Long non-coding RNA from Perca fluviatilis (European perch), 250 nucleotides. RefSeq lists it as uncharacterized. The record is from RefSeq and is a predicted model, not a curated record. The transcript is spliced from 3 exons. Lineage: Eukaryota; Metazoa; Chordata; Actinopteri; Perciformes; Percidae.